GACGAACGCUGGCGGCGUGCUUAACACAUGCAAGUCGAACGAUGAUGCCCAGCUUGCUGGGUGGAUUAGUGGCGAACGGGUGAGUAACACGUGAGUAACCUGCCCCUGACUCUGGGAUAAGCGUUGGAAACGACGUCUAAUACUGGAUACGAUCGCCGGCCGCAUGGUCUGGUGGGGGAAUGAUUUUUUGGUUGGGGAUGGACUCGCGGCCUAUCAGCUUGUUGGUGAGGUAAUGGCUCACCAAGGCGACGACGGGUAGCCGGCCUGAGAGGGUGACCGGCCACACUGGGACUGAGACACGGCCCAGACGCCUACGGGAGGCAGCAGUGGGGAAUAUUGCACAAUGGGCGAAAGCCUGAUGCAGCAACGCCGCGUGAGGGAUGACGGCCUUCGGGUUGUAAACCUCUUUUAGUAGGGAAGAAGCGAAAGUGACGGUACCUGCAGAAAAAGCACCGGCUAACUACGUGCCAGCCGCCGCCGUAA
This 483-nucleotide ribosomal RNA is filed under the name uncultured bacterium. Its description in RNAcentral is "partial 16S ribosomal RNA". It matches the Rfam family "Bacterial small subunit ribosomal RNA", at positions 28 to 523 of the family's 1533-position model. The record is from RNAcentral.